GGGGUUUGGAUGCUGCCGCUGCAGUCGAUUAUGCUCGCAGCCUUCGAAUCAUGACGGAUACCUGUGGCAAAGCGACCAUCGUGACCCUCUACCAGGCAUCUGACGCUGUUUACAGCUUUGCCGAUAGGGUUAUGAUCAUCGAUGAAGGCCGUAUGUUAUACCAGGGGCCUGCGAACAAAGCCAAGUCGUAUUUCGAGAACUUGGGCUACAAGUGUCAUCCUAGACAAACGAUCACCGAUUUCCUGACUGGUAUAACAUCUGACCGAACGAGAGCUUUUCGGGAUGGGUAUGAGACACGCGCUCCAAAGGGUGCAGUUGAGUU
Molecule: small RNA, 322 nt
Filed under: Histoplasma capsulatum var. duboisii H88
Lineage: Eukaryota; Fungi; Ascomycota; Eurotiomycetes; Onygenales; Ajellomycetaceae
Description: Histoplasma capsulatum H88 hypothetical RNA
Source: RNAcentral